ACGAGUUAGGGCCUCUGGCCCGAACCUCCAACCCUUUAUAUCAAAACCUCGUUGCCUCGGGGAGGCCCUGCCUCACGGCUGGCCCCCCGAUGGACCACUAAACUCUGCAUCUGUAUGACGUCUGAGUAAAGAUUUUAAAUUAAAUCA
This 147-nucleotide unclassified non-coding RNA is filed under the name soil metagenome. RNAcentral's name for it is "partial internal transcribed spacer 1". The record is from RNAcentral.